RNAcentral lists this long non-coding RNA (494 nucleotides) under Lathyrus oleraceus (garden pea). RNAcentral describes it as "Pisum sativum (pea) long non-coding RNA (PSAT_LNC013416)". The record is from RNAcentral. Lineage: Eukaryota; Viridiplantae; Streptophyta; Magnoliopsida; Fabales; Fabaceae.
UUAUUUUCAAUAUCAAUACAUUAAAUUAAUAUUAAACCAUAAACCCACAUCGGACAGGAUCCUCUGUGUCCGCUUUCUUACCUUCUGCUUUCAUCUAGGCCUUUAACUUAAUCUAAUAGGAUAGAAAAUAAAAAAAGUGAAAGAAGAUUAAUCAAUUAAAAUCAAAUCCAACUGCUAACAUUGCACAGGAGAGAUCACAUAAUAAAAAAUAUUGGAGGGAUCUGUUUCCCACACCUAGUGAUAGGAUGAACCAAAUCCACUUAUUUCUUGUCACAAACAUAAUUUCUUGUAAUCACAAAACAAAACAAACAAAAUCAAAAACAUAAACCUAAAAAGUUGACAGAACAAAGAAAGAUCACAAACUUUGAAAGACAAUUGAACACCUUCAACGAUAUUUCAUCUAAACACAUACAAUCUUAAACAUCUUUAACGAUUCUUCAUCGAAAUCCAAAAAUUAAAAAGUAUAAACUGAACUCAAAACGUAAAAAAAAAAA